RNAcentral lists this ribosomal RNA (258 nucleotides) under uncultured bacterium. Its description in RNAcentral is "partial 16S ribosomal RNA". It matches the Rfam family "Bacterial small subunit ribosomal RNA", at positions 96 to 354 of the family's 1533-position model. The record is from RNAcentral.
CGGCGGACGGGUGAGUAACGCGUGGGUAACCUGCCUCAUACAGGGGGAUAACAGUUAGAAAUGACUGCUAAUACCGCAUAAGCACACAGAACCGCAUGGUUCGGGGUGAAAAGCCGAGACGGUAUGAGAUGGACCCGCGUCUGAUUAGCUAGUUGGAGGGGUAACGGCCCACCAAGGCAACGAUCAGUAGCCGACCUGAGAGGGUGACCGGCCACAUUGGGACUGAGACACGGCCCAAACUCCUACGGGAGGCAGCAG